CCUACGGGUGGCAGCAGUGAGGAAUAUUGGUCAAUGGACGAGAGUCUGAACCAGCCAAGUCGCGUGAAGGAUGACUGCCCUAUGGGUUGUAAACUUCUUUUAUAUGGGAAUAAAAUGUUCCACGUGUGGGAUUUUGUAUGUACCCUAUGAAUAAGGAUCGGCUAACUCCGUGCCAGCAGCCGCGGUAAUACGGAGGAUCCGCGCGUUAUCCGGAUUUAUUGGGUUUAAAGGGAGCGUAGGUGGAUUGUUAAGUCAGUUGUGAAAGUUUGCGGCUCAACCGUAAAAUUGCAGUUGAAACUGGCAGUCUUGAGUACAGUAGAGGUGGGCGGAAUUCGUGGUGUAGCGGUGAAAUGCUUAGAUAUCACGAAGAACUCCGAUUGCGAAGGCAGUUCACUGGACUGCAACUGACACUGAGGCUCGAAAGUGUGGGUAUCAAACAGGAUUAGAUACCCGUGUAGUC
Molecule: ribosomal RNA, 460 nt
Filed under: uncultured bacterium
Lineage: Bacteria
Description: partial 16S ribosomal RNA
Rfam family: Bacterial small subunit ribosomal RNA
Source: RNAcentral